CCUACGGGUGGCAGCAGUGAGGAAUUUUUGUCAAUGGACGAGAGUCUGAACCAGCCAAGUAGCGUGAAGGAUGACUGCCCUAUGGGUUGUAAACGUCUUUUAUAUGGGAAUAAAACGUUCCACGUGUGGGAUUUUGUAUGUACCAUAUGAAUAAGGAUCGGCUAACUCCGUGCCAGCAGCAGCGGUAAUACGGAGGAUCCGAGCGUUAUCCGGAUUUAUUGGGUUUAAAGGGAGCGUAGGUGGAUUGUUAAGUCAGUUGUGAAAGUUUGCGGCUCAACCGUAAAAUUGCAGUUGAAACUGGCAGUCUUGAGUACAGUAGAGGUGGGCGGAAUUCGUGGUGUAGCGGUGAAAUGCUUAGAUAUCACGAAGAACUCCGAUUGCGAAGGCAGUUCACUGGACUGCAACUGACACUGAGGCUCGAAAGUGUGGGUAUCAAACAGGAUUAGAUACCCUGGUAGUC
Molecule: ribosomal RNA, 460 nt
Filed under: uncultured bacterium
Lineage: Bacteria
Description: partial 16S ribosomal RNA
Rfam family: Bacterial small subunit ribosomal RNA
Source: RNAcentral